AAGACUAGAUCUUUUAUCGGUUCUAGCCUUAUUCCUAGAUAAACAAAAAAAAUAAAGAGGCAUGAGCUAUACUAGCUAUUGGAUUCUGACCACAUAGUGAAAAAUAAUUUUUAAAAUUUUUAAAAUCAAAUAAGUCAAUAGCUUUAAUAAUUAAAACUAUUGAGCUGAAUCCAAAAUCCUAGAAUCACCUUGCCAAUAUCGAUAAAACAAAACAAGCAUGCAACA
RNAcentral lists this long non-coding RNA (225 nucleotides) under Elaeis guineensis (African oil palm). RNAcentral's name for it is "long non-coding RNA (EGUI_LNC074680)". The record is from RNAcentral. Lineage: Eukaryota; Viridiplantae; Streptophyta; Magnoliopsida; Arecales; Arecaceae.